UACGUAGGCAGCAAGCGUUGUUCGGAGUUACUGGGCGUAAAGGGCGCGUAGGCGGCUUGGUCAGUCCCGUGUGAAAUCCCUCGGCUCAACUGAGGAACUGCACGGGAAACUGCCUGGCUUGAGUUCGGGAGAGGGAAGCGGAAUUCCGGGUGUAGCGGUGAAAUGCGUAGAUAUCAGGAGGAACACCGGUGGCGAAGGCGGGUCUCUGGGCCGAUACUGACGCUGAGGAGCGAAAGCGUGGGGAGCGAACAGG
Molecule: ribosomal RNA, 253 nt
Filed under: uncultured bacterium
Lineage: Bacteria
Description: partial 16S ribosomal RNA
Rfam family: Bacterial small subunit ribosomal RNA
Source: RNAcentral